Molecule: ribosomal RNA, 499 nt
Filed under: uncultured bacterium
Lineage: Bacteria
Description: partial 16S ribosomal RNA
Rfam family: Bacterial small subunit ribosomal RNA
Source: RNAcentral
GACGAACGCUUUCUUCGGGCCUAAUACAUGCAAGUCGAGCGAAGGCUUUCUGGGGCUUGCACUAGACGAACGUAGCGGCGAACGGGGGAGUAACACGUAAAGAACCUGACUCAUUGACGGGGGCAACUAUUGGAAACGAUAGCUAAUACCCGAAAACAGUCUUCGUGUCAUGGGAGAGAUUCAACGGUUGGUUAUCCUAACACUGUGAGAUUGCUGUGCGGUGCAUUAGCUAGUUGGUGGGGUAAAGGCCCACAAAGGCGACGAUGCAUAGCCGACCUGAGAGGGUGAUCGGCCACACUGGGACUGAGACACGGCCCAGACUCCUACGGGAGGCAGCAGUAGGGAAUCUUCCGCAAUGGGCGAAAGCCUGACGUAGCAACGCCGCGUGAGUGAAGAAGGAUUUCGGUUCGUAAAGCUCUGUUGUUCGGGAAGAAUGGAUAUGUAGCAAAUCUACAUGUAAGAGACGGUACCUAACCAGAAAGCCAGGGCUAGCUACGUG